CCCUUCGUGGUGAUUUAAACAGUAUGACUUGGUUCUCCUGAGUCUGAUGAAGCCAAACUUUCUGUUCUGAGAGGG
Colossoma macropomum (tambaqui) is the source of this 75-nucleotide small nucleolar RNA. RefSeq annotates it as small nucleolar RNA SNORD59. NCBI's taxonomy places the organism in Eukaryota, Metazoa, Chordata, Actinopteri, Characiformes, Serrasalmidae. The record is from RefSeq and is a predicted model, not a curated record. The transcript has a single exon.